Tupaia belangeri chinensis (Chinese tree shrew) is the source of this 350-nucleotide long non-coding RNA. RefSeq lists it as uncharacterized. The transcript is spliced from 3 exons. NCBI's taxonomy places the organism in Eukaryota, Metazoa, Chordata, Mammalia, Scandentia, Tupaiidae. The record is from RefSeq and is a predicted model, not a curated record.
CCCUUCCCUAUCCUGUGAGAGGCCUUGGGCCCUUGGACGUGGACAUCCCAGACCACUCGGCCAUGUUCCAUCACAGCUCCUCAAUCCCCUGGGGAAAUGGCUGCAGGCAGUGACUGAGCACACAGGAGCGCUAACGGCAACUCGUCAGACAGAGGCAUAGAGAAUCUUCAAUAGAAAAUGACGAUGCAAAGUCCAACCAAAGGGAAUAUGAAGAGAACGUAGCUAAAAUACACAAGGUGUAAAUUGUGACUGUGAAGAUUCCAAAGACAGAGAUAAAGGACUUGGCAGAUGUCAGGCACUCAAUAAUGGGUAAAUAAUAUUUGCUUUCGACAUUCCUUCCUAUAAUGAAA